CAGCAGUAGGGAAUCUUCCACAAUGGGCGCAAGCCUGAUGGAGCAACACCGCGUGAGUGAAGAAGGGUUUCGGGCUCGUAAAGCUCUGUUGUUAAAGAAGAACACGUAUGAGAGUAACUGUUCAUACGUUGACGGUAUUUAACCAGAAAGUCACGGCUAACUACGUGCCAGCAGCCGCGGUAAUACGUAGGUGGCAAGCGUUAUCCGGAUUUAUUGGGCGUAAAGAGAGUGCAGGCGGUUUUCUAAGUCUGAUGUGAAAGCCUUCGGCUUAACCGGAGAAGUGCAUACGGAAACUGGAUAACUUGAGUGCAGAAGAGGGUAGUGGAACUCCAUGUGUAGCGGUGGAAUGCGUAGAUAUAUGGAAGAACACCAGUGGCGAAGGCGGCUACCUGGUCUGCAACUGACGCUGAGACUACGAAAGCAUGGGUAGCGAACAGGAUUAGAUACCCUGAUAG
This 455-nucleotide ribosomal RNA is filed under the name uncultured bacterium. RNAcentral's name for it is "bacterial SSU rRNA". It matches the Rfam family "Bacterial small subunit ribosomal RNA", at positions 349 to 793 of the family's 1533-position model. The record is from RNAcentral.